AACGAACGCUGGCGGCAGGCUUAACACAUGCAAGUCGAGCGCGCCGCAAGGGCAGCGGCCGACGGGCGAGUAACGCGUGGGCACGUACCUUUUGGUUCGGAACAACUUCGGGAAACUGGAGCUAACACGGGAUAAGCCGUUACGGGGAAAGAUUUAUCGCCGAAAGAUCGGCCCGCGUCUGAUUAGCUAGUUGGAGAGGUAACGGCUCACCAAGGCGACGAUCAGUAGCUGGUCUGAGAGGAUGACCAGCCACACUGGGACUGAGACACGGCCCAGACUCCUACGGGAGGCAGCAGUGGGGAAUAUUGCACAAUGGGCGCAAGCCUGAUCCAGCCAUGCCGCGUGAGUGAUGAAGGCCUUAGGUUUGUAAAGCUCUUUUGUCCGGGAAGAUAAUGACUGUACCGGAAGAAUAAGCCCCGGCUAACUUCGUG
Molecule: ribosomal RNA, 431 nt
Filed under: uncultured bacterium
Lineage: Bacteria
Description: partial 16S ribosomal RNA
Rfam family: Bacterial small subunit ribosomal RNA
Source: RNAcentral